Gorilla gorilla gorilla (western lowland gorilla) is the source of this 105-nucleotide transfer RNA. It matches the Rfam family "tRNA". From Rfam's summary of the family: Transfer RNA (tRNA) molecules are approximately 80 nucleotides in length. Their secondary structure includes four short double-helical elements and three loops (D, anti-codon, and T loops). The record is from Rfam. Lineage: Eukaryota; Metazoa; Chordata; Mammalia; Primates; Hominidae.
GUCAGGAUGGCCGAGUGGUCUAAGGCGCCAGACUCAAGCUUGGCUUCCUCGUGUUGAGGAUUCUGGUCUCCAAUGGAGGCGUGGGUUCGAAUCCCACUUCUGACA